RNAcentral lists this ribosomal RNA (274 nucleotides) under uncultured prokaryote. Its description in RNAcentral is "partial 16S ribosomal RNA". It matches the Rfam family "Bacterial small subunit ribosomal RNA", at positions 524 to 797 of the family's 1533-position model. The record is from RNAcentral.
UACGGAGGAUCCGAGCGUUAUCCGGAUUUAUUGGGUUUAAAGGGUGCGCAGGCGGGAGAUUAAGUCGGCGGUGAAAUUUUGCAGCUCAACCGUAAAAGUGCCUUCGAAACUGGUUUCCUUGAGUGUAGAUGAAGUAGGCGGAAUUUGUGGUGUAGCGGUGAAAUGCAUAGAUAUCACGAGGAACUCCGAUUGCGCAGGCAGCUUACUAAACUACUACUGACGCUCAGGCACGAAGGCGUGGGGAUCAAACAGGAUUAGAUACCCGCGUAGUCCU